GAGGGCUUACAAGUGCAUUUCUGCAGUUUAUUAACCCAAAGCACACCUUGAUGGCUGAUGGAGUGUGUGCCUCCCUCACCAGCGGGGCACCUAGGCUGUGCCCAGAGCUCAGAUUGGCACCUGGAGGCAGGGGAGGGACAAUGUGUGACAGCCAGGUGAGAAUCUGACCUGCUCCCACCUGGACUGCACUGCUCUCAUGCAGUGGCCAAGGCAAAGCUGACUCUGGGGUGUCAGGGCUUUCCCCAGAGCUCUGGUGGCCCGAGGAGCAGCAGGAGGAGCAGCAGGAGGAGCAGCAGGAGGAGCAGGGCUGUGCCAGCCCUACCUGUCCAGGUGGAAGGCAGCGAUCUCCGCGUUGUGCCGCUGGAAAUCCACAAAGUAGAAGAAAUCCUCAGGAGUCUCCUCCUCACGUUUCUGCCUGGGAGAAAGCAGGGGGUGAGCCCUGGGCAGCCUGGACACUGAGUGGUGGCACAAGGACAGCUGGUGGGCUCGGGGACAGCUCCUGUGGGGCUACACUGGGGACAGGGUCAGAGCACAAGGGCUCAGUGCCCAGCUGGAGCCACCACCCGCCGUGCCAGGGAGCAGCACUUGCACCCUGGGGGAGGCAGAGGAGCUGACUGGGGCUUUACAUCUGCUUCAGCAAGAGCUUAGACCUCUUAGGACAAAGUUUCAGGUGGUGUUUGUCACAUCCCCCCUGGAGGCAGAGGAGGGCUCAGGUCUGAUGCUCUCCUAUCCCUGAAGACCUGGUGGACACUGGGCAGAGCUGGAUGGAAGCCCAGGGGAGAGGAGCUGGCUGCCUUCUGGGUGAGGAUUGAUUAUCCCAGCCCACGUGCUGCCAGCUGCUCUGCUCACACAUGGACAGUGAAGUGAGAGGGAAUUGAUGUGAAGAGUCCCAAGGGGCUGCAAGUAAGAGCAGAAGCAAUUUAAAUCCCCUGUGUGAUGGCUGCUUCUUGGAAAUAUUCUGGGGAAUCCAAGGAAAACCAAGGCAAACCCCAAAGUCUGCUGGGGAAGAGCUGUCCCUCAUGGCAAGGAUCUCAGGAGAACAAGUGUCCCAAGGUCCUUCUCCACCUGGCACCCAUGAAAAGAGACAUUUCCAACAUCAACAGCA
Molecule: long non-coding RNA, 1105 nt
Organism: Haemorhous mexicanus (house finch)
Lineage: Eukaryota; Metazoa; Chordata; Aves; Passeriformes; Fringillidae
Exons: 3
Source: RefSeq, a predicted model, not a curated record